Molecule: small RNA, 29 nt
Filed under: Bombyx mori (domestic silkworm)
Lineage: Eukaryota; Metazoa; Arthropoda; Insecta; Lepidoptera; Bombycidae
Description: ovarian small RNA-33954
Source: RNAcentral
UGCGCAUUCCCACUAAUGCCCUGUGGCUG